RNAcentral lists this ribosomal RNA (492 nucleotides) under uncultured bacterium. RNAcentral's name for it is "partial 16S ribosomal RNA". It matches the Rfam family "Bacterial small subunit ribosomal RNA", at positions 29 to 507 of the family's 1533-position model. The record is from RNAcentral.
AGUGAACGCUGGCGAUAGGCCUAACACAUGCAAGUCGAACGGCAGCACAGUAAGAGCUUGCUCUUACGGGUGGCGAGUGGCGGACGGGUGAGGAAUACAUCGGAAUCUACUUUUUCGUGGGGGAUGACGUAGGGAAACUUACGCUAAUACCGCAUACGACCUACGGGUGAAAGCAGGGGAUCUUCGGACCUUGCGCGAUUGAAUGAGCCGAUGUCGGAUUAGCUAGUUGGCGGGGUAAAGGCCCACCAAGGCGACGAUCCGUAGCUGGUCUGAGAGGAUGAUCAGCCACACUGGAACUGAGACACGGUCCAGACUCCUACGGGAGGCAGCAGUGGGGAAUAUUGGACAAUGGGCGCAAGCCUGAUCCAGCCGUACCGCGUGGGUGAAGAAGGCCUUCGGGUUGUAAAGCCCUUUUGUUGGGAAAGAAAAGCAGCAGGUUAAUACCCCGCUGUUCUGACGGUACCCAAAGAAUAAGCACCGGCUAACUUCGUG